GACGAACGCUGGCGGCGCGCCUAACACAUGCAAGUCGAACGGAGCGGAGAGAAGCUUGCUUUUCUUAGCUUAGUGGCGAACGGGUGAGUAACGCGUGGGUAACCUGCCCUGGAGUGGGGGACAACAGUUGGAAACCACUGCUAAUACCGCAUAAGCUCACGAUCCGGCAUCGGCUUGAGUGAAAAGGAUUUAUUCGCUUCAGGAUGGACUCGCGUCCAAUUAGCUAGUUGGUGAGGUAACCGCCCACCAAGGCGAGGAAUGGUAGCCGGGCAGAGAGGUAGAGCGGAGACAUUGGGACUGAGCAACGGCACAGACUCCUACGCGAGGCAGCAGUGGGGGAUAUUGCAAAACGGCGGAAACGAUGAUGGAGCGACGCCGGGUGGAGGAAGAAGGUUGUCAGAUUGUAAACUCCUGUCGUUAGGGACGAUAAUGACGGUACCUAACAAGAAAGCACCGGCUAACUACGUG
This 468-nucleotide ribosomal RNA is filed under the name uncultured bacterium. Its description in RNAcentral is "partial 16S ribosomal RNA". It matches the Rfam family "Bacterial small subunit ribosomal RNA", at positions 28 to 507 of the family's 1533-position model. The record is from RNAcentral.